This 536-nucleotide long non-coding RNA is filed under the name Camelus dromedarius (Arabian camel). RNAcentral's name for it is "lncRNA (ENSCDRG00005018633.1)". Lineage: Eukaryota; Metazoa; Chordata; Mammalia; Artiodactyla; Camelidae. The record is from RNAcentral.
CUCAUUGGUCAGAAGCCCCCUCCCUCCGAGGUGGGGUGCUGAGAGCUUUACUGGAGGCUUCUGAUUGGCUCGGUCUCUGCCCUGGAAGCCCCUUCCUCCCCUUCCCGUCCCCCGCUCCUCCUCUGGGAGAGUGGAUUGAAGCAGAGCCUUCCCCUUUGGGAAAGAAGGUCCCUUUCUGAGCCGCUCUGGAGAGAGGCUGGUGGCGUGGGGCUCCCUCGGGCCAGCGGCAGUGCUUGUGCCCAUGGGGCUCCUCGGUCUGGUCCUGCUCUGGGUGCUGGCGGCAGCGACUUCAGGGAAAAGUCCAGACUUGCUGGUGGGGCAGGCGGCCUCCUGCAUGACUUCGUGCGCAGGGUCAGCUGAUCCCCACCUCCCCGUGGGCACCAGAUACACCUAUCACUUCUCCACCAACACCAGCACCGGCCUGCAGGGGGUCCAGGUGGAGGGGAGUGGUGUUGGCCUCCAAGGCUUGGUCACCCUCGAUGUGCUUGGCCCUUGCCAGAUGGCCUUACAGGUGAGUAUCUCUGGGUAACCAGGAG